UACGUAGGGGGCAAGCGUUGUCCGGAUUUAUUGGGCGUAAAGAGCGUGUAGGCGGCCAAGCAGGUCCGCUGUGAAAACUCGAGGCUCAACCUCGAGACGUCGGUGGAAACCGUUUGGCUAGAGUCCGGAAGGGGAGAGUGGAAUUCCCGGUGUAGCGGUGAAAUGCGCAGAUAUCGGGAAGAACACCCGUGGCGAAGGCGGCUCUCUGGGACGGUACUGACGCUGAGACGCGAAAGCGUGGGGAGCGAACAGG
This 253-nucleotide ribosomal RNA is filed under the name uncultured bacterium. RNAcentral describes it as "partial 16S ribosomal RNA". It matches the Rfam family "Bacterial small subunit ribosomal RNA", at positions 524 to 776 of the family's 1533-position model. The record is from RNAcentral.